RNAcentral lists this ribosomal RNA (468 nucleotides) under uncultured bacterium. RNAcentral describes it as "partial 16S ribosomal RNA". It matches the Rfam family "Bacterial small subunit ribosomal RNA", at positions 28 to 507 of the family's 1533-position model. The record is from RNAcentral.
GACGAACGCUGGCGGCGUGCUUAACACAUGCAAGUCGAACGGAAAGGCCCUGCUUUUGUGGGGUGCUCGAGUGGCGAACGGGUGAGUAACACGUGAGUAACCUGCCCUUGACUUUGGGAUAACUUCAGGAAACUGGGGCUAAUACCGGAUAGGAGCUCCUGCUGCAUGGUGGGGGUUGGAAAGUUUCGGCGGUUGGGGAUGGACUCGCGGCUUAUCAGCUUGUUGGUGGGGUAGUGGCUUACCAAGGCUUUGACGGGUAGCCGGCCUGAGAGGGUGACCGGCCACAUUGGGACUGCGAGACGGCCCAGACUGCUACGGGAGGCAGCAGUGGGGAAUAUUGCACAAUGGGCGGAAGCCUGAUGCAGCAGCGCCGCGUGCGGGAUGACGGCCUUCGGGUUGUAAACCGCUUUCGCCUGUGACGAAGCGUGAGUGACGGUAAUGGGUAAAGAAGCACCGGCUAACUACGUG